This is a long non-coding RNA of Nannospalax galili (Upper Galilee mountains blind mole rat), 288 nucleotides long. RefSeq lists it as uncharacterized. The transcript has 3 exons. NCBI's taxonomy places the organism in Eukaryota, Metazoa, Chordata, Mammalia, Rodentia, Spalacidae. The record is from RefSeq and is a predicted model, not a curated record.
AGCGUGUUGGCAUUUACUUCCUUUCUCAGCUUAAAAACUCUCUCUUCUGAAGCAGAUCAACAGGAUCCAAAGAAACAGCUUAUCCAUUUCGGUUGGGAAAAGUUUCCUGGGAAUUAAACUGACUGAGGAAGAAGCUAGCUGGUGGCAGCAGGUCCUCAGGUUGGAUCAGCAGCCCUGCAGUUGAUUGAAUUGUCCUCCCUCCCUGGAGACCAAGUUGCGGCAGAAGCCAUCUGGAAGAGACUUCACACUGUGAUUCUAGCCACUCCAACAGCUAUCAAAAUGCCUGAA